GUGAACCAGCGGAGGGAUCAUAAAAGAGUUUCUAAAAAGAACUCCCAAACCCAUGUGAACUUACCUUCUGUUGCCUCGGCAGGCAGGUUUGCGCCUGUUACCUCGUAGGACCCUAUCCUGUGUAAGAUUUUACCCGGAGAGACCUUACCCGGUAGAGACGCGGGCCUACCUGCCGGUGGCCUAGAAAAUAAAAAUUCUGGUUUUUUUUAAUGGUAUUCUGAUGAGUAGAGAAAAUUUAAGUUAAAAACUUUCAACAACGGAUCUCUUGGUUCUGGCAUCGAUGAAGAACGCAGCGAAAUGCGAUAAGUAAUGUGAAUUGCAGAAUUCAGUGAAUCAUCGAAUCUUUGAACGCACAUUGCGCCCAUUAGUAUUCUAGUGGGCAUGCCUGUUCGAGCGUCAUUUCAACCCUUAAGCCUUCUGUUGCUUAGUGUUGAGAGCCUACAGCUUUCUGCCGUAGCUCUUUAAAAAUAGUGGCGGAGUCGGUUUAUACUCUAGACGUAGUAGAUUCUAUCUCGCCUAUAGAUGAGCCGGUCUUCUGCCGUAAACUAUAUAUAACUUUCUUAUAAGGUUGACCUCGGAUCAGGUAGGAAUACCCGCUGAACUUA
Molecule: ribosomal RNA, 605 nt
Filed under: Kretzschmaria zonata
Lineage: Eukaryota; Fungi; Ascomycota; Sordariomycetes; Xylariales; Xylariaceae
Description: partial small subunit ribosomal RNA
Rfam family: 5.8S ribosomal RNA (bases 246-399)
Source: RNAcentral